This 484-nucleotide ribosomal RNA is filed under the name uncultured bacterium. Its description in RNAcentral is "partial 16S ribosomal RNA". It matches the Rfam family "Bacterial small subunit ribosomal RNA", at positions 30 to 507 of the family's 1533-position model. The record is from RNAcentral.
AUUGAACGCUGGCGGCAGGCCUAACACAUGCAAGUCGAGCGGAUGAAGGGAGCUUGCUCCUGGAUUCAGCGGCGGACGGGUGAGUAAUGCCUAGGAAUCUGCCUGGUAGUGGGGGAUAACGUCCGGAAACGGGCGCUAAUACCGCAUACGUCCUGAGGGAGAAAGUGGGGGAUCUUCGGACCUCACGCUAUCAGAUGAGCCUAGGUCGGAUUAGCUAGUUGGUGGGGUAAAGGCCUACCAAGGCGACGAUCCGUAACUGGUCUGAGAGGAUGAUUGGUCACACUGGAACUGGAACACGGUCCAGACUCCUACGGGAGGCAGCAGUGGGGAAUAUUGGACAAUGGGCGAAAGCCUGAUCCAGCCAUGCCGCGUGUGUGAAGAAGGUCUUCGGAUUGUAAAGAACUUUAAGUUGGGAGGAAGGGCAGUAAGUUAAUACCUUGCUGUUUUGACGUUACCAACAGAAUAAGCACCGGCUAACUUCGUG